GGGGAUAUAGCUCAGCUGGAAGAGCACUUGCAUGGCAUGCAAGGGGUCGGGGGUUCGAAUCCCCCUAUCUCCACCA
This 76-nucleotide transfer RNA is filed under the name Chloroflexota bacterium. Its description in RNAcentral is "Chloroflexi bacterium tRNA-Ala". It matches the Rfam family "tRNA". Rfam says of the family: Transfer RNA (tRNA) molecules are approximately 80 nucleotides in length. Their secondary structure includes four short double-helical elements and three loops (D, anti-codon, and T loops). Lineage: Bacteria; Bacillati; Chloroflexota. The record is from RNAcentral. RNAcentral also lists the same sequence under 1 other name.